RNAcentral lists this ribosomal RNA (644 nucleotides) under Aeromonas eucrenophila. Its description in RNAcentral is "bacterial SSU rRNA". It matches the Rfam family "Bacterial small subunit ribosomal RNA", at positions 253 to 894 of the family's 1533-position model. Lineage: Bacteria; Pseudomonadati; Pseudomonadota; Gammaproteobacteria; Aeromonadales; Aeromonadaceae. The record is from RNAcentral.
UGGGGGAAUGGCUCACCAGGCUGCAUCCCUACUGGCUGAAGGAUGAUCUACCACACUGGAACUGAGACACGGUCCAGACUCCUACGGGAGGCAGCAGUGGGGAAUAUUGCACAAUGGGGGAAACCCUGAUGCAGCCAUGCCGCGUGUGUGAAGAAGGCCUUCGGGUUGUAAAGCACUUUCAGCGAGGAGGAAAGGUUGAUGCCUAAUACGCAUCAGCUGUGACGUUACUCGCAGAAGAAGCACCGGCUAACUCCGUGCCAGCAGCCGCGGUAAUACGGAGGGUGCAAGCGUUAAUCGGAAUUACUGGGCGUAAAGCGCACGCAGGCGGUUGGAUAAGUUAGAUGUGAAAGCCCGGGCUCAACCUGGGAAUUGCAUUUAAAACUGUCCAGCUAGAGUCUUGUAGAGGGGGGUAGAAUUCCAGGUGUAGCGGUGAAAUGCGUAGAGAUCUGGAGGAAUACCGGUGGCGAAGGCGGCCCCCUGGACAAAGACUGACGCUCAGGUGCGAAAGCGUGGGGGAGCAAACAGGAUUAGAUACCCUGGUAGUCCACGCCGUAAACGAUGUCGAUUUGGAGGCUGUGUCCUUGAGACGUGGCUUCCGGAGCUAACGCGUUAAAUCGACCGCCUGGGGAGUACGGCCGCAAGGU